Molecule: ribosomal RNA, 2987 nt
Filed under: Salmonella enterica
Lineage: Bacteria; Pseudomonadati; Pseudomonadota; Gammaproteobacteria; Enterobacterales; Enterobacteriaceae
Description: bacterial LSU rRNA
Rfam family: Bacterial large subunit ribosomal RNA
Source: RNAcentral
UUAAGCGACUAAGCGUACACGGUGGAUGCCCUGGCAGUCAGAGGCGAUGAAGGACGUGCUAAUCUGCGAUAAGCGCCGGUAAGGUGAUAUGAACCGUUAUAACCGGCGAUUUCCGAAUGGGGAAACCCAGUGUGACUCGUCACACUAUCAUUAACUGAAUCCAUAGGUUAAUGAGGCGAACCGGGGGAACUGAAACAUCUAAGUACCCCGAGGAAAAGAAAUCAACCGAGAUUCCCCCAGUAGCGGCGAGCGAACGGGGAGGAGCCCAGAGCCUGAAUCAGCAUGUGUGUUAGUGGAAGCGUCUGGAAAGGCGCGCGAUACAGGGUGACAGCCCCGUACACAAAAGCGCAUGUGCUGUGAGCUCGAUGAGUAGGGCGGGACACGUGGUAUCCUGUCUGAAUAUGGGGGGACCAUCCUCCAAGGCUAAAUACUCCUGACUGACCGAUAGUGAACCAGUACCGUGAGGGAAAGGCGAAAAGAACCCCGGCGAGGGGAGUGAAAAAGAACCUGAAACCGUGUACGUACAAGCAGUGGGAGCACAGGUUUACCUGUGUGACUGCGUACCUUUUGUAUAAUGGGUCAGCGACUUAUAUUCUGUAGCAAGGUUAACCGAAUAGGGGAGCCGGAGGGAAACCGAGUCUUAAUUGGGCGUUAAGUUGCAGGGUAUAGACCCGAAACCCGGUGAUCUAGCCAUGGGCAGGUUGAAGGUUGGGUAACACUAACUGGAGGACCGAACCGACUAAUGUUGAAAAAUUAGCGGAUGACCUGUGGCUGGGGGUGAAAGGCCAAUCAAACCGGGAGAUAGCUGGUUCUCCCCGAAAGCUAUUUAGGUAGCGCCUCGUGAAUUCAUCUCCGGGGGUAGAGCACUGUUUCGGCUAGGGGGCCAUCCCGGCUUACCAACCCGAUGCAAACUGCGAAUACCGGAGAAUGUUAUCACGGGAGACACACGGCGGGUGCUAACGUCCGUCGUGAAGAGGGAAACAACCCAGACCGCCAGCUAAGGUCCCAAAGUCAUGGUUAAGUGGGAAACGAUGUGGGAAGGCCCAGACAGCCAGGAUGUUGGCUUAGAAGCAGCCAUCAUUUAAAGAAAGCGUAAUAGCUCACUGGUCGAGUCGGCCUGCGCGGAAGAUGUAACGGGGCUAAACCAUGCACCGAAGCUGCGGCAGCGAACGUAUCACUUAAAGCGAUUCAGCGGGUUACGAUUGACGGAGCGAAGCGACGUCAAAGCGUAUACAAAGUCGAGUCGGUUUAAGGAUACGUUCGUUGGGUAGGGGAGCGUUCUGUAAGCCUGUGAAGGUGGCCUGUGAGGGUUGCUGGAGGUAUCAGAAGUGCGAAUGCUGACAUAAGUAACGAUAAAGCGGGUGAAAAGCCCGCUCGCCGGAAGACCAAGGGUUCCUGUCCAACGUUAAUCGGGGCAGGGUGAGUCGACCCCUAAGGCGAGGCCGAAAGGCGUAGUCGAUGGGAAACGGGUUAAUAUUCCCGUACUUGGUGUUACUGCGAAGGGGGGACGGAGAAGGCUAUGUUGGCCGGGCGACGGUUGUCCCGGUUUAAGCGUGUAGGUGUGUGUUCCAGGUAAAUCCGGUUCACUUUAACACUGAGGCGUGACGACGAGGCACUACGGUGCUGAAGCAACAAAUGCCCUGCUUCCAGGAAAAGCCUCUAAGCAUCAGGUAACAUCAAAUCGUACCCCAAACCGACACAGGUGGUCAGGUAGAGAAUACCAAGGCGCUUGAGAGAACUCGGGUGAAGGAACUAGGCAAAAUGGUGCCGUAACUUCGGGAGAAGGCACGCUGACACGUAGGUGAAGUGAUUUACUCAUGGAGCUGAAGUCAGUCGAAGAUACCAGCUGGCUGCAACUGUUUAUUAAAAACACAGCACUGUGCAAACACGAAAGUGGACGUAUACGGUGUGACGCCUGCCCGGUGCCGGAAGGUUAAUUGAUGGGGUCAGCGCAAGCGAAGCUCCUGAUCGAAGCCCCGGUAAACGGCGGCCGUAACUAUAACGGUCCUAAGGUAGCGAAAUUCCUUGUCGGGUAAGUUCCGACCUGCACGAAUGGCGUAAUGAUGGCCAGGCUGUCUCCACCCGAGACUCAGUGAAAUUGAACUCGCUGUGAAGAUGCAGUGUACCCGCGGCAAGACGGAAAGACCCCGUGAACCUUUACUAUAGCUUGACACUGAACAUUGAGCCUUGAUGUGUAGGAUAGGUGGGAGGCUUUGAAGCGUGGACGCCAGUCUGCGUGGAGCCGACCUUGAAAUACCACCCUUUAAUGUUUGAUGUUCUAACGUGGACCCGUAAUCCGGGUUGCGGACAGUGUCUGGUGGGUAGUUUGACUGGGGCGGUCUCCUCCUAAAGAGUAACGGAGGAGCACGAAGGUUGGCUAAUCCUGGUCGGACAUCAGGAGGUUAGUGCAAUGGCAUAAGCCAGCUUGACUGCGAGCGUGACGGCGCGAGCAGGUGCGAAAGCAGGUCAUAGUGAUCCGGUGGUUCUGAAUGGAAGGGCCAUCGCUCAACGGAUAAAAGGUACUCCGGGGAUAACAGGCUGAUACCGCCCAAGAGUUCAUAUCGACGGCGGUGUUUGGCACCUCGAUGUCGGCUCAUCACAUCCUGGGGCUGAAGUAGGUCCCAAGGGUAUGGCUGUUCGCCAUUUAAAGUGGUACGCGAGCUGGGUUUAGAACGUCGUGAGACAGUUCGGUCCCUAUCUGCCGUGGGCGCUGGAGAACUGAGGGGGGCUGCUCCUAGUACGAGAGGACCGGAGUGGACGCAUCACUGGUGUUCGGGUUGUCAUGCCAAUGGCACUGCCCGGUAGCUAAAUGCGGAAGAGAUAAGUGCUGAAAGCAUCUAAGCACGAAACUUGCCCCGAGAUGAGUUCUCCCUGAGACUUUAGGUCUCCUGAAGGAACGUUGAAGACGACGACGUUGAUAGGCCGGGUGUGUAAGCGCAGCGAUGCGUUGAGCUAACCGGUACUAAUGAACCGUGAGGCUUAACCUU